This 238-nucleotide ribosomal RNA is filed under the name uncultured bacterium. RNAcentral's name for it is "partial 16S ribosomal RNA". It matches the Rfam family "Bacterial small subunit ribosomal RNA", at positions 118 to 354 of the family's 1533-position model. The record is from RNAcentral.
UGAGCAAUCUGCCCUUCUCUUCGGAAUAAAGACGUUGGAAACGACGUCUAACGCCGAAUACGACCUCCUUUCGCAUGAUCGGAGGUGGAAAGCUCCGGCGGAGAAGGAUGAGCUCGCGGCCUAUCAGCUAGUUGGUGUGGGUAAUGGCCUACCAAGGCGACGACGGGUAGCCGGCCUGAGAGGGCGACCGGCCACACUGGGACUGAGACACGGCCCAGACUCCUACGGGNGCAGCAGG